GUCCAGACUCCUACGGGAGGCAGCAGUGGGGAAUAUUGCACAAUGGGGGGAACCCUGAUGCAGCGACGCCGCGUGGGCGAGGAAGUAUUUCGGUAUGUAAAGCCCUAUCGGCAGGGAAGAAGAAAUGACGGUACCUGAAUAAGAAGCACCGGCUAAAUACGUGCCAGCAGCCGCGGUAAUACGUAUGGUGCAAGCGUUAUCCGGAUUUACUGGGCGUAAAGGGAGCGCAGGCGGCACGGCAAGUCUGGUGUGAAAGCCCGGGGCCCAACCCCGGGACUGCAUUGGAAACUGCCGGGCUGGAGUGCCGGAGGGGUAAGCGGAAUUCCUGGUGUAGCGGUGAAAUGCGCAGAUAUCAGGAAGAACACCGGUGGCGUAGGCGGCGUACUGGACGGCAACUGACGCUGAGGCUCGAAAGCGUGGGGAGCAAACAGGAUUAGAUACCCCGGUAUUG
RNAcentral lists this ribosomal RNA (451 nucleotides) under uncultured bacterium. RNAcentral's name for it is "partial 16S ribosomal RNA". It matches the Rfam family "Bacterial small subunit ribosomal RNA", at positions 329 to 793 of the family's 1533-position model. The record is from RNAcentral.